RNAcentral lists this ribosomal RNA (403 nucleotides) under uncultured bacterium. Its description in RNAcentral is "partial 16S ribosomal RNA". It matches the Rfam family "Bacterial small subunit ribosomal RNA", at positions 28 to 526 of the family's 1533-position model. The record is from RNAcentral.
GACGAACGCUGGCGGCGUGCUUAAUACAUGCAAGUCGAACGCAGUGGGGACGGGUGAGUAACACGUGGGUAACCUCCCAUCAGAGGGGAUAACCAUUGGGAACAGGUGCUAACCUGAUACUGAUGGAUGGACCCGCGGUGGAGUAGCUAGUUGGUGCGGUAACGGCUCACCAAGGACACGAUGCAUAGCCGACCUGAGAGGUGGAGCGGCCACACUGGGACUGAUGCACGGCCCAGACGCCUAGGGUAGGCAGGAGUAGAGAAUCUUCGGCAAUGGACGAAAGUCUGACCGAGCAACGCCGCGUGAGUGAAGGAGGUUUUCGGAUCGUAAAACUCUGUUGUUAGAGAAGCGGUAUCUAACCAGAAAGCCACGGCUAACUACGUGCCAGCAGCCGCGGUAAUUC